RNAcentral lists this ribosomal RNA (255 nucleotides) under uncultured bacterium. RNAcentral describes it as "partial small subunit ribosomal RNA". It matches the Rfam family "Bacterial small subunit ribosomal RNA", at positions 26 to 285 of the family's 1533-position model. The record is from RNAcentral.
AGGACGAACGCUGGCGGCGUGCUUAACACAUGCAAGUCGAGCGGAAAGGCCCUUCGGGGUACUCGAGCCGGCGAACGGGUGAGUAACACGUGAGUAACCUGCCCCUAGCUCUGGGAGUAGCUCCGGGAAACCGGGAUUAACACCAGAUACGACCACUUUAGACAUCUGUCGGUGGUGGAAAGGAUUCCGGCUAGGGAUGGGCUCGCGGCCUAUCAGCUUGUUGGUGGGUAACGGCCUACCAGGCGACGACGGGUA